This is a non-coding RNA of Pelobates cultripes (western spadefoot toad), 206 nucleotides long. Lineage: Eukaryota; Metazoa; Chordata; Amphibia; Anura; Pelobatidae. The record is from the annotation of a GenBank genome assembly.
ACAGGGUCAAAUAUAACACGUUACAUUUGAAAUUGAAAUUCGCCAGAUUGGUUACGUUGCCUUUGAGACUGUAUAGUAGCCCAGGAAUGAAAUUUACACCCAUAAUGGCAUACCAUUUGCAAUAGUAGACAACCCAAGGUAUUGCAAUGGGGUAUGUCCAGUCUUUUUUAGUAGCCAUUUGGUCACAAACACUUGGUUUAUUUUCU